This 564-nucleotide ribosomal RNA is filed under the name uncultured archaeon. Its description in RNAcentral is "bacterial SSU rRNA". It matches the Rfam family "Archaeal small subunit ribosomal RNA", at positions 328 to 897 of the family's 1478-position model. The record is from RNAcentral.
GGGUGCACCAGGCGCGAAAACUUUACAAUGCCGGCAACGGCGAUAAGGGGACCUCGAGUGCCAGGUUACAAAUCUGGCCGUCGUGAUGCCUAAAAAGCAUUGCAUAGCAAGGGCCGGGCAAGACCGGUGCCAGCCGCCGCGGUAACACCGGCGGCUCGAGUGGUAACCGUUAUUAUUGGGUCUAAAGGGUCUGUAGCCGGCCGGAUAAGUCUCUUGGGAAAUUUGGCAGCUUAACUGUCAGGCUUUCAGGAGAUACUGUCUGGCUCGAGGCCGGGAGAGGUGAGAGGUACUUCAGGGGUAGGGGUGAAAUCUUGUAAUCCUUGAAGGACCACCAGUGGCGAAGGCGUCUCACCAGAACGGACCUGACGGCAAGGGACGAAAGCUAGGGGCACGAACCGGAUUAGAUACCCGGGUAGUCCUAGCCGUAAACGAUACUCGCUAGGUGUCGGCCACGGUGCGACCGUGGUCGGUGCCGUAGGGAAGCCGUGAAGCGAGCCACCUGGGAAGUACGGCCGCAAGGCUGAAACUUAAAGGAAUGGCGGGGGAGCACAAGGGCGAUUCGCG